CCUGAGCUGAUAAAAACGCCAUUCUGGGCUGGGACCCCAGCAAUUCCUGCAAUGGCAGCUUUUCUCCUGCUCCUCUCCCUGACCCUCCUGGCCGGCCCAGCCUGGGCCGGCACAGGCCUGAUCCCCAAGGACCACAAGCAGGAACCAGCUCUCUGGCACCAGCAGCACCAUCAAGACAGCCGCUUAACGGGGGACCUGCUUGACCGGAAGGUGUCACCCCGUUUCAUCUGCAGCACCUGUCAAGUCAUCAUGACGAAGCUUAAAGAGCUGGUUGGGGACAAUUCUGACGAUAUGAAUGAGAUUAAGAAGGCAGAGAAGCAGGUGUGCAGCUCUGUGAGCUUCUAUCUCCGGUGGGCCUGCGAGAAACUCAUAAAGAAGUUCUUCCUCCCCAUCGCCAGAGACUUCUUAAGCGGCAAGAAUCCCCGGCAGGUCUGCGAGGACAUCAAGAUCUGCAAGCCUAAGAAAGGCCCUGAGGGACAUGGUUCAGAGGACGGGAGUGGACAUAGGGAGCCCAGGCUGCUCACUCUAGCCCAAAUACAGCACCAGGAUGCCGGGGAGAAGAUCCUGGAGUCUGAAUCUGCCCUUGAGAAGAGGACUCUGGAGGAAGAGUGGUCCCAGCCUGCCAAAAGGUCCCUUCGGAGAUACUGAUCCUGCUCAGAAGCUUCAGCGGUUCUGUCCAUGCACCCCCUCCCCCCCCCGAUCUGCCAACACCCCCACUCCAACUUGCAGCCCCUCCCCCUGGCUUUUCCAGAGAAUAAAAUGUCAUGAACGCACUGGGCUUCAGUGAUGGAUGUGGAGGGAGGAAACCUAAUGCUUUGGCAGGGCUGAAGCAGUGUCCACAGGUGCACCCGCCAGGGCAGGGCAUCAUCAUCCCUGCUGCCCCGAAGCCCUGCCCACCGCCUCUUUGGGUCCAUUCCCUUUGUCCGAGCUGCCAGGGUGGCCCUGCCCUGGGGGAGCAGGCAGGGCUAGGGCAACAACGGACAGGCUGGCAGGGCGGACACAGGUCAAGGCGCGUGCUCUUCCUGGAUCUCUCAUACCAUCCCCAGGAGGCAGGUCUUCUCAGAUCCAUUUUUACAGGCGGGGGAAACUGAGGUCUGGCAAGU
Molecule: long non-coding RNA, 1103 nt
Filed under: Ornithorhynchus anatinus (platypus)
Lineage: Eukaryota; Metazoa; Chordata; Mammalia; Monotremata; Ornithorhynchidae
Description: lncRNA (ENSOANG00000048786.1)
Source: RNAcentral